CCCGCCCGCUGGCGGCAUGCCUAACACAUGCAAGUCGAACGAGACCUUCGGGUCUAGUGGCGCACGGGUGCGUAACGCGUGGGAACCUGCCCUUAGGUUCGGAAUAACUCCCCGAAAGGGGUGCUAAUACCGGAUAAUGUCUUCGGACCAAAGAUUUAUCGCCUUUGGAUGGGCCCGCGUUGGAUUAGCUAGUUGGUAGGGUAAAAGCCUACCAAGGCGACGAUCCAUAGCUGGUCUGAGAGGAUGAUCAGCCACACUGGGACUGAGACACGGCCCAGACUCCUACGGGAGGCAGCAGUGGGGAAUAUUGGACAAUGGGCGAAAGCCUGAUCCAGCAAUGCCGCGUGAGUGAUGAAGGCCUUAGGGUUGUAAAGCUCUUUUACCCGGGAUGAUAAUGACAGUACCGGGAGAAUAAGCUCCGGCUAACUCCGUG
This 433-nucleotide ribosomal RNA is filed under the name uncultured bacterium. RNAcentral describes it as "partial 16S ribosomal RNA". It matches the Rfam family "Bacterial small subunit ribosomal RNA", at positions 34 to 507 of the family's 1533-position model. The record is from RNAcentral.